GUGUCAGCAGCCGCGGUAAGACGGAGGAGGCUAGCGUUGUUCGGAAUUACUGGGCGUAAAGCGUACGCAGGCGGUUGAUCAAGUCAGGUGUGAAAGCCCGGGGCUCAACCUCGGAAUUGCGCCUGAGACUGGUCAGCUAGAGUUCGGAAGAGGUGAGUGGAAUUCCCAGUGUAGAGGUGAAAUUCGUAGAUAUUGGGAAGAACACCAGUGGCGAAGGCGACUCUCUGGUCCGAUACUGACGCUCAAGUACGAAAGCGUGGGGAGCAAACAGGAUUAGAUACCCUGGUAGUCC
Molecule: ribosomal RNA, 292 nt
Filed under: uncultured bacterium
Lineage: Bacteria
Description: partial 16S ribosomal RNA
Rfam family: Bacterial small subunit ribosomal RNA
Source: RNAcentral